AGUAUUACACGACGGUGUAAUGUGGCAGUGACCCGAAGGACUGUGGGCUGUCGCGCGGUGACCCGAAGGACUGUGGGCCGCGGUCGGUUGAAAGUUCCUUCUUCUGGCCUUUGUGGUAGGGAGAUAGGAUAUUGCCGAUAGAGAGGAGGAACACGAAGUCACCAGGGCCCAGGUUAGAGUGUUGUGUUAGAGUGUCGUAGAGGGUUAUGGAACCCUCGAGUUAGGGUAGCACCGAUAUACGGUGUUACAAGUUAGAUCGAGUCGUAGUUACUCAUAGUCUUAUUAGUGUGAUUGUGUUUGUGGUUGAUUGAUUUGCUUGCAGGUUCUGACAUUAAGUCCUAAGUCUGGCUUAGGUACCGGAUUAGGCUUGAUGUGUAUUUUGUUAGUGUAGGCCUGACGUUGG
Molecule: long non-coding RNA, 403 nt
Filed under: Brassica rapa (field mustard)
Lineage: Eukaryota; Viridiplantae; Streptophyta; Magnoliopsida; Brassicales; Brassicaceae
Description: long non-coding RNA (BRAP_LNC008955)
Source: RNAcentral